RNAcentral lists this ribozyme (115 nucleotides) under Aedes aegypti (yellow fever mosquito). Its description in RNAcentral is "drz-agam-1 ribozyme". It matches the Rfam family "drz-agam-1 ribozyme". Lineage: Eukaryota; Metazoa; Arthropoda; Insecta; Diptera; Culicidae. The record is from Rfam by way of RNAcentral.
UGUCCAGUAACUCUUAUCCCUACCUCCUCAUGGUGCCGCCUGGGAUACGAGUAACCGUAGGGAAGAUCGGGUAACCAACCCCGGUGGGACCUUGGCCGUAUGUUGACAGGGAAGG